Molecule: transfer RNA, 64 nt
Filed under: Poeciliopsis occidentalis (Gila topminnow)
Lineage: Eukaryota; Metazoa; Chordata; Actinopteri; Cyprinodontiformes; Poeciliidae
Description: tRNA-Cys
Rfam family: tRNA
About the family: Transfer RNA (tRNA) molecules are approximately 80 nucleotides in length. Their secondary structure includes four short double-helical elements and three loops (D, anti-codon, and T loops).
Source: RNAcentral
AGUCCUAAGGUGUUACACAUCAGAUUGCAAAUCUGAAGACGCGGCUUAAUCUCCGCUGGGGCUU